CCAUAAACUCUACUCUCCUCGCAUAUCUUCUUCUUCUCUUUUUUAUUCAUUAAUAAUUAGAAUCCAAAGCGAACCCGCCAGGCGGCCCUCAGUUCUCCGGUUCGGGGGUGGCCGCAGCCGCCGCCGGCGGAGGCGGACGGGAGAGCGCCGCAGCCGAGAGGGCGUCGGCGAGGGCGCGCAUCGCCUUCACCUGCAUCUCCAACGCCGCCACGUAGUCUACCGCCUCCUCCAGCAGGCUCGGCGCCGACAGCUUCCGGCACCCCGGCACCAGCCGGGACAGAACGCGAAGGCGAUCCCUCACCUUCUUCCCCUUCAGCGCCGCCGGUGGAGGUGGCGGUGCUGCGGCCUUCCUGCCCGGCCGAGUCCGCCGCCGCAGGAUCUUCCCGCCGGCCUUGAGGAGGAGCUUGCGCCGGCGGCAGCGGCCGAAGAGGAUGGCCCGGCUCCACCGAGACUGUCCCCGGGCGGUGAGGGCGAGGGCGGAGUCUGCCGCCUCCUUGACGGCCCGGGCGCCGCCUCCGGCGGCGGAGGCGCGGCCGGCGCGAGCGGAGCGGAGGGCCUCGAGGAGGCGGCGCCCGUAGAUCCGCUCUUGAGCACCGGUCCGCCACUUGUUCUGGGGCUGGGGGUGUGGACCGGGCCGUUGUUUCUUCC
This 648-nucleotide long non-coding RNA is filed under the name Elaeis guineensis (African oil palm). Its description in RNAcentral is "long non-coding RNA (EGUI_LNC006808)". The record is from RNAcentral. Lineage: Eukaryota; Viridiplantae; Streptophyta; Magnoliopsida; Arecales; Arecaceae.